Molecule: long non-coding RNA, 996 nt
Organism: Oxyura jamaicensis (ruddy duck)
Lineage: Eukaryota; Metazoa; Chordata; Aves; Anseriformes; Anatidae
Exons: 3
Source: RefSeq, a predicted model, not a curated record
UCUAGAGGCAGAAUAUGAGCUCUAUGUAGUGACUAUGAGUCUCAGAUAGUAAGAGUAGAUUUGAGCAAUUGUAGGACAUUUUCAUUUCCUGCAAAAACCUGAAAUCGGGGCAGAAUUAUCUGGUUACUAGACAGUACAGGAAAGCCCAGCUCCCUUUGACUUUGGCCAUCCACCCCGACACUCAGUACACCUGUGCUGGGCCUGAACUUUGACCAGAGGGAAUUUAAGACAUUGAGGAUUGAUGUGUGGUAAAAUCAGGAUUUGCAGUUUCUCAGUUAUUUCAUUUUGGAAAGGAAGUCAAGGCACUAAGGGAAUGCCAGGCUGUGAGGCACUAAUCCUGGCUGGACUACAGUAUGUUUCAAGGAGGCUGGGAAAUUCCUCUCUAGGAAAGGAAUGCUGUUGGAAGAUGUUGAUAGCAAGCAUGCUUUGUUUGUUCUAGGUGGCUUGUGAGACCAUCUUAAAAACAAAUUGUGGAGAAAAGUAACACGUGUGUGCUGCUGAGUCUCCGCACAGUGAUAGCAGAGUAACCCCACUGACCUCUGUGUACCAUACUGAAAGGAGAGCAGAACUCAGUAUAAUCCUUUCCCGAAGUUCAUAGAAAAGCAUGGCAUGUCAGAUUUGGUCUGAAAAGACUGAUUUCCAGGCUAUAUUGUGAGGUAAACCAAGCUAUAUUUCAAAUCGACCCUGUCCACCAAACAGAGGACACAGAAACAUGGAAUUAAUGGAACAAGUUGGGUUGGCAGGCACUGCUGGAGGUUACGUAGUGCAGCCCCUGCACCAAGAAGGGCCAGCUUUGAGGCUCAAGCAGGUUGCUGAAGGCCCAGGUAGGUAUUGGGAAUGCCUCCAGAUGGAGACUCCACCACCUCUCUGGGCAACUGCUUGCCCACUCCUGUAGGGAGGAUGUUCAGCUGAACAAGUCAGCUCACCAUUUACACAGCUGCACUGAAAUACUGCAUUUUCCUGAACUACACUAUGCUUGUUUAAGACAAGGAAAAA